This 242-nucleotide long non-coding RNA is filed under the name Gallus gallus (chicken). Lineage: Eukaryota; Metazoa; Chordata; Aves; Galliformes; Phasianidae. The record is from RNAcentral.
ACAAUGGCAGCCUUUAGAUGUUUUUCCACAGGCUGGUGCUGUAAAAUGCUCUGCUUCCAAUGCUGGUUUAGAAGAUUUCUUGAAAAUACAACAGUCAAACCUACCACUGUCUAUCUUCAAAGAUGACAUUCACAAAGAGCAGCAGUGAUUACAGAAGGUCUGCAAGGAAAGAAAACAGCAGUGUACAGUAAGACAAGUCUGAAAAUUCUUCAGUUUAGAGAGCUCCCAUGCCUUACCGUGAC